Molecule: long non-coding RNA, 832 nt
Organism: Rosa rugosa (rugosa rose)
Lineage: Eukaryota; Viridiplantae; Streptophyta; Magnoliopsida; Rosales; Rosaceae
Exons: 2
Source: RefSeq, a predicted model, not a curated record
CACUCGGGCCGUAAACCAAGAGAGCCACGACCUGACCUGAAGAAUUAACCUAGCAAGUCCACCGUCGUCCGGCCACUUCAGGCCACCGCACUGGUCACGUUGGAACCGCCUUUCCACGCCAGCCCGUCCUCUGCCCACCAUUCGCCUUGAUUGGUAGCUACAAAGGAGAAUCCACGCAGUUUUGCUCGCAACAGUCUGUGAAACUCAACCCAGUUGCUCCGCCGUGCUCCGGCCGUUUCAGAUGGUUCCACUUCAUGGGUGUUGAAACUCUUGCCAUGCUAAGUUCACUGGUACCAACCGUGAAGCUCGAUUUGUGCGGAGAAAGGAACAUUAUGAUGUAGGUUUCGUUACCCGAUUUGGGGGUUGAACCCCAUGCGCCGCCACUUUUAGUAGUAUGUGGCAGCACAUGUCGCCAUUUCUAGCCUCGUAUUUUAGCCUGUUAGAUAGAGCUUAACCUUAUGAGCAUGUUGAUAUAACUUUUGUUGAAUUUGGUAAUCGAUCGGCAAUUCUGAAAUUUCGAUUUGUGACGAUCUGACUGUUGGAUCGUCAUGAUUUGUCAUGAGAAUGUUAGAAAAGUUUACGGAACCAUUGAAGUUUCCGACAAUUCUCAUGUAAGAUUGGAUUUUCAAAUUACGAAACCCUUGAAGUUUCAGAAAAUUCUUAUGACGAAAUUAUCAAUGGCGUUUUAGAGCUUCUUAUAGAAUUCAAAUUUAUUGUUUACAGUUUAUUUCCGAUAGGAAUGUCGGAUUUGAGUACUAUUUAUGAUUUGAGAAAUAAGUGUAUUUUUGGGCGAGUACUAAAUUGAAUUCCGACAUAAGUUGCGGAUUUGAUU